GAUGAAGAACGUAGCGAAAUGCGAUAAGUAAUGUGAAUUGCAGAAUUCCGUGAAUCAUCGAAUCUUUGAACGCACAUUGCGCCCUUUGGUAUUCCUUAGGGCAUGCCUGUUCGAGCGUCAUUUGAAACCUCAAGCUCAGCUUGGUGUUGGGUGUCUGUCCCCGCCUCACCGCGGGGACUCGCCUCAAAAUCAUUGGCGGCCGGUACGUUGGCUUCGAGCGCAGCAGAAACGCGAACUCGAGGCCCGGCGGAUCGGCGACCAGAAGUCACUUCUUCACAGUUUGACCUCGGAUCAGGUAGGGAUACCCGCUGAACUUAAGCAUAUCAAUAAGCGGAGGA
This 338-nucleotide unclassified non-coding RNA is filed under the name soil metagenome. RNAcentral describes it as "partial contains 5.8S ribosomal RNA, internal transcribed spacer 2, and large subunit ribosomal RNA". The stretch from base 1 to 120 matches the Rfam family "5.8S ribosomal RNA", at positions 35 to 154 of the family's 154-position model. The record is from RNAcentral.